UUGCGGUAUGGCUGGUACUGAGA
RNAcentral lists this microRNA (23 nucleotides) under Eptesicus fuscus (big brown bat). Its description in RNAcentral is "efu-miR-9186l". Lineage: Eukaryota; Metazoa; Chordata; Mammalia; Chiroptera; Vespertilionidae. The record is from miRBase by way of RNAcentral.